Molecule: long non-coding RNA, 516 nt
Organism: Sitodiplosis mosellana (orange wheat blossom midge)
Lineage: Eukaryota; Metazoa; Arthropoda; Insecta; Diptera; Cecidomyiidae
Exons: 2
Source: RefSeq, a predicted model, not a curated record
AAUGAAUCAUCGAUAGCUAAGUUUCAGUGUGGUUUCGAAGAGUAAAGACGUACUCUGUGUAUGAUAAAAAAAAUUCGUGUCGAGAUUUUUUUUAAAACAGUUUUUAGUGCAUUUCGCCGACAACCAUUGUGUGAUUUCUUUUCGGUAAUUUUUCAAGGUGGAAAAUGUCGUCGUGUGGAAAACGUAAAAGUGAUCGUGUGCUACCGAAUCGCGAUAACGACGCCAUAGUCAACGCAUUGAAAGCAGUGAAAUUGGGCAAACAGGCAGAAGAAAGCAGACAAUGCGGCAAAAAAAGCGGAAAAGGCGGCAACAUCGAAAGCCAGCGCAUCGAAAGCGAAGCCAUCAAAGAAACCAGCCAAGCGACCAAAGAAGCAAUCAUCUUCGGAUGAAGAUGAAGAUUUUUGCAUCAUCUGCAUGCAUAUGUUACCGAUGAAUUCGAUGAUUCCGAUGAAUAAUCAUCUUCAAUUUCCAUGUCAAAAGCACAUAAUUGAAUAAAAAUUCAAUAAUCCGUCGAAA